This 209-nucleotide unclassified non-coding RNA is filed under the name rhizosphere metagenome. RNAcentral describes it as "partial ribosomal RNA internal transcribed spacer region". The record is from RNAcentral.
GAGUUUGAAUAGGGUUGAUGCUGGCCUUCCGAGGCAUGUGCUCGCCCUUCUCAUCCAUCUACACCUGUGCACCUUUGUGGUCUAGGCGUUACGGUCCGUUGGACUGGAAGCCAGGCUACGUUUUAUUACACACGCUUUUUUAGUUCAGAAUGUAAACAUCGCGAUAAAACGCAUUAAAUACAACUUUCAACAACGGAUCUCUUGGCUCU